UCUGUCGCACCUCUCUAACCUAACACCUCGACCCCCGAACCUCGCGUAACCUAUAUUUUAUUUAUUUUUUUUUCCCCCGCAGCGGCGUGUUUCUUAUGUGUACGGCGUGUGUGCGCGCGCGGCUCAACAAAUUACCCGACCGCCAACCGAUGACUUGCCGGUCACUGCUGCCGACACCGCCGAUCUCUUCUUAUAUGAACGAGAAUCGGUGCCCGUAAUAAAAUGUUUUACUACUUCGAACUCGUAUUGUUCCAUACGGUUUUACGGCGUUCCCGCCCUACGAUUUCGGCCGAGACUUUCGCCACUCUCCGUCUUGUUUUGUUCGUCUUUAUCCCGCAGAGUCUGCUCUGAUAACACUCGUGUAUACUCGCGCCUCGGCGUUUUUGUAUUUUUAUCUUUUCAAAACGUUUAAUGAAAACUGUAAGAUUCGCCGGGACUCGUUCAAACGGUCACGUUGCAAAACCCGCAAGACGCAGUUCGGCCGCGGACACCAAACCGAGACAUUUUUAUUUAUUAUUUCGAUUUUUAUUUUAUUUUUUUAUCCGGCCGGAUGCGCUCGGACCCGCGCGUCGGAAUGUAUUAUCCCGUUAAAAUUGCCCAUAAAUUCGUGUCGUAAAGCAAUUAAAAACUUUGCGCGGACCUUUCCGCGCGUAUACUGUACACGUUCGCGUUGCCAGGCGGGUCGUAUUGUUCCCGGGCCAGACGACGAAACGGUCGGCGCCGUUUCCGACGACGACGACGACGACGACGACGGAGGUCCUAUACGGGGUCGGACCGUCCGCGCGCGUGUACACACCGCAGUUUAUGGCGAGUUUAUGCCGUUGUUGGCCCGCGGACGAAAGGUCCGCGACGGUAGGAUUCCGAGGGAAGAGGGGUGUAUCGCGCAAUCGCCGGUCCCCGAGUUUUUAUUAUUUUCGUGGAUUUCAGUCAGUCGGAAAAUGCACAAUAUAUAUUCGCAUAAUAUAAAUUACUGGUCGAAAUUUCGCCGGGCGUUUGCCGCGAGGCAAACGUUUUUGUAAAUUAAAAAAUUGCCACCCUCGCACCCUGCCCCCGUGCGCAGACUGCAAUAACGUAAUUGUGGACACUGUGGCGAUCUAUACAUAACAAUAUGUAUACGUCUUUAUUCCCGGGGCUAGAGUGAAUUUCUAGAAAAAAAAAAAAAAUGAGGAAAACAACGAAAAUGGGAAAAACAACGAAAAUGAGAAAAAUAACAAAAAUUACAGGAAAAAAUGUAUAAAAAAAAAAACACGCAUCAAAUUAACUUAAGUUCAUCUUCCUUGGAACCAAAGGUAUACAUAAAAUAAAAAAACUGACUAUCAACGCUCGGUUCAACCCACGGUCUUGAAACUUGAAAUUUUGCCCUGAACUUUCUCGUACAAUGUAGACAACCGUCAAGAAAGGAUUUUUAAAAAUUCGAAAAAUGACCGUAGAAAUAGCUGGUGCGGCAAAUCAUUGUCUACAUAUUGGUGACGCGACUUAUUGCCUAUUUUGAUCCAGUUCUUUUUCGAUGUACGACUAUCAAGAAACACCAUCCACGCGCAUUGAGAAAUUAUCAAUUAUUAUUACAUUAUAAAACAAUCGGGAUGUAUUUUCAGUCGGGUCGUACGAUAGUAAUAGCUAUCAACUGUAUAUAAAUAUAUAUAUAUUUAGCACAUUAGCCGAGUAAUUUACGGACAACAUAAUGAACAACAUUCAACAAAUGGUGGAUUAUGCGCAUAGACGAAAAUAGAACUUGAAAAUACAUAAGGCCAGAGCUCAAAAGGAUUUAGACCUACUAAAUUAAAUCGAACACUGUAGGUGGAGCUUGAGAUGGCUCAGGGAAGACUAAGCCUACUUGAACCCCGUUGUCCUGUUUACGUCUAUGACUAUGCGAAUAUAUCGGUCGCAGCAGGAAGAAUGUAAACUCUAUUUUUGACACUUAUCGAAGAGAAGGUGUUGCGAAAUUCAACGAUUGACGAAACAAUGCGGAUUCAACACUAAUAUACUUAACUAAUUAGGUAUAUUUUCGUUACGAAACUGCACACGGGGGGGGGGGAAAUACUGCUACUGUAGGGCGUCUCAUCGUUAUAUAGAUUAAAAAUAAAAUAUCGUUUUUCCUUUACCUCCACUCCCUUAAAAGCGGAUAAUUUACAAAAUAUUCAUGUAUAUAAAAUUUUAAUAUACAACCUGAUCAAGUUAUCAGGUGCCAAAGUUGUCUUAGAUUUAAAAAAAAUAAAAAUAGUUAAUUAAGGAAAACAUUUAAAGUUUAGGUCCAUUUUCGGCACUCGAUAAUUUUGCCCGAUUGUACUAAAAUAUGUACGUAUCAAUAUUCCAUUUAUAUAUAUUAAACGCUAUUAAGGGGGCGACGAAGAAAAAAAACCAAAAUUUUAUUCUUAACCUCCAAAACUAAGGGGUACCCUAAGUCCGCUGGUAAUCGUGUACACUUACAAAUGUAACCACCUAAAAGAUACCUAACGAGUAGCUCGGUGCACUGUUGUCGGGGUAAUCGUGCAAAUCCGGUCGUAUUUAAUUUAUCGUAAAAAUGACAAUAAAAAUAUCGCAUCACUACGCGCAACCUACACACAAAUCGCCGCCGCUCAACUACCUCGACGUUAUUGUAUUCUGAGAUGUUGUCCAGUUAUAUUUACAGUUUUACCACCCACGAUGACGUCAACGAAUAUCGGCUUGUAGCCAAGUCAUUUUUUUCGGGUUUUUUUUUUCUAGUAAUUAUUAUCCAUCGGGUAUCCUCAAGGGAUGGUCUAAAAAUAGAUAUAGUGUUCUGUCCGCUGUCUAAAACCGCUCUCGAACGCACGAUUAAAUUCGAAAUUAGUUUUGUUAACGUACACAACGCAGGACGUAGUUCAAAAGUAUAGAAAUAUCGAUCAGUAAAUACGGCGAUCCUCGACGGUCCAUCUACUCUAACUCGGAAGAACGUGAUUUAUGAGCGAGAAAAAAAAUGCCCCGAAGUAACAAAGGUGAUCGCGAGGGUAUUACGGCGAGUUUGAGAAGUUAACGUAAUAAUACGCGGUGAUUGGUAUAGACGACCAUCAUUCUUCUAUCCGUAUGUGUGUAUUUUAUUUUCCAAUGAAAUUUCAAUGAUUCAUCACCAGUGUAAUACUUCAAUAAAAAAUUCUAGAGCCGUUACGUUCCGAGACAACGCACAAAUGUCAACCCGCACUCGACGAGUAGCUACCUAUAGUACCUACUAUCCGUAACUCCGACAAUAUAGGAGGCGACCACGUUACAUAGGACCACGUCCGAAAGUAUAGUCACCGCACGAUGGCUCAGAUCGAUCGACUUCCCCCCCACCAUACCCAGAAAUUGUAUAAUAUUUUGUACACAAGUAUACGUUGAAUUUUUUAUUUUUUCCUCGAAAACGCACCUUUUCACACAAAUACGUUUAUAUUAUAUAAUAUUGUACGACGGGUCUUUUUUGAUUGAUGUCCAUAAUGGGUUUCAAGCGGAAAAGAAGUCACGACGGUCCUGUGAAAUCGAUCGCCGAACGAUUAUUAAUGACUGCGCACCAUAAUAUACCUAUACACACAGUAUCGUACGAAUAGUAUCUUAAAUGGGUACCUUUUUUGUAUUAAUCUCUCGUAUUAAUAAAAAUGGAAAAACAAAUCUAUAUAUAGGAACGAAACGGGAAGGUACAAUUGAAAAUGAUUUGAUGAGGUUACACCGAGUAAUGAUCCCAACUGGAAAGAAAAAAUAAAAAUGGACAGAGAUAAAAACUGGGUGUUGGGUUGGAGAUAUUAAAGGCCUAGAAACUAGAGAAUAAGAACAAGAAAAAUAUUAAUUUAUUAUAAUUAAAUUAUUAUAUAAUAAUUAAAAUGGAGUUUUCCUUUUAAAUAACAUAAUUUUACCAUCGUAAGAAUUUUUUUUUUUUUCAUUAUCUAACGAUUCUGAUUGGACAAUUUCAUUUCUCACGUCACAUAAUAAUAAUUGCAGUUUGACAAAACAAUACAAUACAACAAAACGAGGUUUUUUCAAUAAAUAUUAUAUGUAUUUGUAUUUCAGAAAGAACAAUACAACAAACAUCUGCAAUAUCAAUAAUAGGUUUUUAAUUAAAUAACGUUCAACGAUUUUCCAGUCGGUUACAUUUUUAAUUAAUUUGUUGGAUUUUUCCUUUUUUUUUUACGUUUGUUUCGGUUGAUUUCAUUUUACGGAAAUAGGUACAGUUAGAACGUUUAUUUUUUUCUCCUCCGUAAAACUAUUUAGUACCUACCUAUGUUUAACAUACCUAUUUAUACUACCCCCUACCCCACCAUUGAUUUGUUCAUUUCUAUAUACAAAGUGAUUGUUUUAUCAUGAGGAGGAUUUUAACGUUUAAGUGAAUUUUGUUUCUUUUUAUUUUAAUCAUUAUGGAAUCGUUUAAGCUUUAUUUUAACACUGUUUUUAACUUUUGCCCCUACUCUUUACACCUGUAGAGAGUAUCUAAUUCGGAUUUAUUACAUUUAGGAGUUAUAUUUAGGUUUAAUGAUGGGUAAUAAAAUAUAUAUCUAAGUUAAAACGAACAAUUCGUAACUCUUCCAUACUCUUCUAGUCUAAAAUUUAAACGGCUAUAAACUUAUCAAUCAUAAACAGUAAAUCUGAUAUUGGUGUUAUUGCAUACCAGAAUGUCUAGAAAAAUAUUCUCUAUUCGAAUCAACUGUUCAAAAUCACAUUUGAUAUUCAAAAAUAAAUACUAUUUUUGAGGUACCUACACGAAACAAGAGUAUAACAUUAAAAACGGUUUUGAAAUAAAACUUAAUCGAUUCCGCAACAAUUAAAAAAACAAAACCCGAAAUCAAAUUCAUUUGAAAUCCAACGAGAAAAUUGGUGGUGCGCGAUGCGAGAAUUAUACAUUUAUUUAUGCAUAUAUUAUUAUAUGUAAACCUAUGCGACCGCAGAUUAUGGUUUAAAUAAGAUUCAAAUAAGAUUCACGGUGGCAGCACCAGCAGCAGGCAGCAGCUUUAACGCUGAAUCCGCGAAAUGUUAUCGACUCGGGUAUAUAUAUAUAUAUAUAUAUAUAAAAAAAUAAUAAUAAUAAUCAAAAAAAAAUUGGGGCGAAUUCCAAAAACAAUGCGGUAUUCUGGCAAGAUGCCUUCGGCGUGCGCGCACAUUAUAGUAGUACAGUAGUAUAGUUACUUAUUUAAUUUACUUAUCCGCCGUGUAACACCUGUUCUCACCCAAGGAUUCUGGCACAGGUUUUAUUACAUUAUCGUUACAUUAUUAUUAGGCUGCCCUCCCCCCUCUUGGUUCCGUUUAGUUUAUAUAUAUAUAUAUAUAUAUAUGUAUUUUUUUUUAUCGAGAACUUUUACACUGGUAAUUUUUAUUUACAACGAUAAUAAUGAAAUAUAUCGUAUUGAAAAUUUGAAAUAUUAUCGUUACAAAACGCGUGCGAUUUUAAUCGCACGUCGGCUCCAUAAUACAAUACACUAACAUAACCGCGCGUACGCCUAUAAUACACGGACAACGGUGCUCCCAUAAAUUGUUUUGAGAGUAUAUUAUUAUUAUUAUUAUUGUUAUUAUUAGCCGUAUCCCGGUACCAUACAAGUGGGAUAUUUUGUAUCUUCCUUAUGAUUUAUUAUUGAUACUUAUAUACAGUGGCGACUCGAAGUAUUUUACCUUAAAUCACCGAUCUACUUUUCCGCCCACCCAUUCCAACACAAAAUACCCCCACCCUACUGCUAAUGUAUUGAAAUUCAACCAACCCCAAUAAAAUUCGUCAAGUUUAUUAAUUUUCCGAAGUCUAAAAUUCUUUUGAUGAAUUUUAUGUUGUAAAAACACAAUAUCUUUUGUCGGUUCAUUCCCACGUCGUCGAUUCCCAUUUUGCCGAAAACAUUUUAUUUUGUUAAUACUUACUUGUGACGUACGUUCCUUGAAAUACUCAUAAUUCCGUCCUACUAUAGCUCAUGACUUAUGUUAAAACAACUCGUUUUCAUUGUCGUUUUUGUUGGGAUUGCACUAGUUUUCUACCGUUGGUUACCUAUAGCUAUUGUUAAAAGUGUCUGUUUUUUCAAUAAUACUAAAUAUAUAUAUUUUUUUACUUACGCGUUUGCGGCGCUGGAAUUUUUUUAGUAAUAAUAAUUUCUUUGCGGCAAUAAUAUUUCAAUUCAAAAUAAUAAGAUAACCGAUUUAUGUGUCGACGAAAUGGGAUGUCGGCCAAAUAGGAGUCGGCGACGUGAGAAAACACGUUUUUGUCAUAUUUCUGAACACCUAGGCACCCAUGACCCACCCACCCGUUUUUUUGUGAAUCACGUAAUUCAAAUGUACCCUUUUCGGGCCGCCACUGCUUAUAUAUACUAUUCGUGGGGAAAUAAUAAGUGUAGAUACACAAAAAUUAAAUCGAAAUAUAAACAUUCGAAAUGAAAAUAACAAUAACAAUAAUAAAGUUGGUUUUGCAAACCGUGAAAAAAUCUUGAAUUUUUCAAUUAUAAUUACUGAAAUGAAUACAAUUAAUUAGUAUUACAGUAAUGCUGUACCGUAAACGAUACGAAUGGACAGCGAAAAGAUAUAUCAUGAGUCUAGGGAACGAAUUUGUGUACACUUAAAAUCCACAAAAAGGCGUUUGUAAACGGCCAAAAAGCACGUACAAAAUAUUUAAAAAGCGAAAAUGGUGGAGGUUUAAAACUCUAACGGCUCUAACUUAUUAAACACAAUUGUCUAAUACCUUUUUAUAUAAGUUUAGGGCUGUUUGAAGGGAGACUUUUAUUACCCCUCUACUGUUAUUGCUUUUUGAAAAUACUCUUUUGAAGUGCAUUCGCAGGGGUUUUUUCGACUGGUUUUAGCGCAUUUUUCCGCAUUAAUGACGAUUUUGCUCGUUCUAAAAUCUAUUCGAGAAUAUUCGCAGUAUACCCGCGAUUUUCCAACAGAACUAUGAGUAUACGGCGUACAUUAUUUACAGUGUACCCCGUGGAAAGCCCACUUUUGCAUACCGCGUGUAUGUAUACCAUAUUAAGCAGUUUCUUCGUUUUAUAGACGAACACGAUGAUAUUAUAAUACGCAUAAUAUCGGUUUAUUACAAUAAUAUUGUGGGGCGGAUUUUCACGAAAACCAAUUUCAUUAUUUUCGAAUCACUCGGGAAAUGCAAUACAAUAGAUAUUACAAAACAUAUAUACAGUAUAUACGUAUAAUAAUACACCGGUACGUAGGUAUUACAGUAUAGCGUGCGUACGUUUUGUCGCAAUACUUGAAAUAUUGUUUCCGGAUAACAUAAUAAUUAGAUUUAUGCAUAUCAAAAAAAAAUAUGUAAAACUCCCGUGCGAAUAUUCAUCCGCAAUAACAUAACACGAACGUUUUCGAGGAAUACGUACCCAUGAUAAUAUAUUAUACCGGCUUUAUGCCAUCACAAUGAAACACCAUCGUCAUAUGGUCCCGUCUAAUUUUAUUACACUUAGCGUUUUCGACACACAAUUAAAGUGAACCGUAUGUAAUUUCAAAAACUCAUGUGGCAUACAAGAAUAUAGAUAUUUUUUUUUUUCUGUUCGUCGACCAUCAGUGUUCUAGAAAUUCUACGAUUCGAUAAUAAAUUGAUAUUCUACACGUUACUAGAAACUUCAAACGCGCUGCAGUUAUAUGCGGUUAUGUAGUCUUAUACGCCUUCGGCCCGUGACCCAGCGGUGUUAACCAAAAUUUUGUACCGGGUAGACUAAGAAUGAUUUUGCUUAAAUCAUGAGCGUAUGGGUAACGGGAGGUUUAGAGGUGUUCAACUGGGAAAAAUGUAAAAAAAAAAAAUUAUGAUGAAUUGUGAACAUAAUAUUAUUAUGUGUGUUAUCUGGAAAUAUCUUGCGGUAACUAUUUUUCUAUGUAAAACACCCUCCUAACAGCUACAUCCUUCUAGAAGUAUUUUGAGCAAAGGUAGUAAUUAUAUAAUUUACAUUGAUGGCUUUUUAUUUACCUAGCCUAACUAUAUAUAAUAUUGAUUAUCUUUUAAUUUUUUUUUUUCUAACCUAAACUAAUAUAACCAAACUUAUCUGUAAUAGCGAUUUAUAUACACGAAGAGUUCAAGGAAAAAAACAGGACUUUUUAGCGAAUAUAGACGAUUUGUAUGGCAUAUAUUUUGAUUAUUAUUAUGCGUUUCGAACACAAUUUAAUUCUGUUUAUUAAAUUUCAAAGUUCAACUUAAUCCGACAUUUUUUAAAUUAAAAAUAUGUUUUUGUCAGAUUGUAAAAAAAUUGACUUAUCUGGUUUCUUCCUCGCGUCCUUAUUUAUACGUUGUAAUACAUAUUUUUGUGUUUUACAAAUAAAACUGCAACAAUACAUCUGCAGUAUUCAGACUUAAUAAAUACUGACGGUAAUAAUAAUUGGCUGUACGACAAAACAGUAUGUUAUAUGUUUAGUUCGGGUAUAUUUACUUCUAUUUUUUUUAUGUAUAUAAUUUACGUAUAUUAAUAUAAUAUUUCGGUUAAUAUUAUAAACUGUUUUCGCAUCUAUAUAGUAUAUAUACAUAAAUAGAUCUUAGGAUUUAAUAUUAAUAUAUACAUUUGUAUAUUACCGCCUAAUAAUAUGUGAUAAUAUUAUAUUAUUAUUAGGGUAGAAAGAGAGAGAAAAAAAGUGUAAUUAUUAAAUGGAUAUUAACUUUAAUUAUUUUAUUUUUUAUCAGAGGUAAUUUUUUAAAAAAAAUUUUUAUAAGUAUUGCGUGUCACAUUGCGUAAUACAGUUACGUGAAGUGGGUUUUUAGGCGAAAUUAGCCGAACGUCUCGGGUCGUAUAUAGAAUCCUGCAUACGAGCCGGGACAGAGAAACAAAAAAAAAAAGUAGGUAAGUACCCAAUGUAUGGAAUUUAAAACAAAUUAAAAACUUUAAGGCAAUAAUAUUGUUAGACCAAAAGUAAACAUUGAACACCAAAAAUUAUCUUUGUAGGUAACUGAUAACAGUUAAAAAGUUGUAUAGAGAAGUUUGAAAACUGUCCCGGAGUUAUAUUAUUAUGUGCUUGACGGUAUAUGAACUUUAAUAUGUGAAAAUAAAAUAUAAUAAUUAUUGUAAUAACAUUACGAUAAGUACGUUAUUAUGUCGUUCGCUCGACUUACCGUAUAGAUUCGUCUUCACGCGGAAAAUGUUUGUUACGUUCGUAAAAUCAUAAAAUAAUUAUUAUAAAAAAUGAAAAAGAAAAAAAAAAUCUAUACAAAGUCAAUGUUAUAUGUUUGCGUCAUCCGCACAAUGGCAAAUAAAUAAAAAACACCACUAUUUGAUCAUAUCGAAAAAUAUUAUUAUUAUUUUUAUUAUAUUAUAUUAGAGAAGCAAAAUGUAUUUAUUUUUAUUAGUCGCCGAAAUGUACUCGUAAUUGUGUUAUUAUCUCUAUUGUGUAACAACGUUAAAAAUAUAUAUCGUACAUUAUAUAACACAUUACAUUAAAGAAAAAUAAAAAAAAACGUGUCUCGGGUAUACUUGUACAUGUUGCAUUGCGCAUUAUUUCUGACGGUACGGUGUACAAGGCAAACAUUUGAUUUCAACAUUAUUAUAAUUAUUAUUGUUAUUAUUAAACGAAUUGACUUAGAAUCCAAUCAAUCGCAAUCAAUAUUGUAUUAUUAAACUAUUAUUAUUAUUAUUAUUAAUUUGUAUUAGAAUGUUAUAAUUAACGACGGUGACGUUGUUGUACCAUAAUACGUUAAUCGUCGAUUAAUACUCGUGAUAUAAGAGUAUGAUAAUUUAUACGAAUACAAUUAUUAAUAUUAUUGUUAUUCCCGUCACGCGGGAAUCGGUUUCGUUUCGACGUUUGAAAAAAAAAAAAAAAAAAAAGUCUGUACGUAAAGCGGUACGAGAUCAACGCUCUUCGGGCGUUUAAAUCUCGGUGAAAAUAUUCUAAAUUUUUUUUUUUUCUCUAAACACAUAAGUGUAUAAGUGUAUACCUAAGUACUAUAAUAUAAUAUUGUGUCGUCCGUGUCAAUGAAUUUAUUGUUGCGAUACUGUUUUGUUUUUUUUUUUUUGUCUUUUUCGACUAGACUUUUAUAAUAUAAGGCCAUCAUUAUAAUAUUAUUAUGACAUGAUAAUACUUAUAUUUCAAUUGAUUAUAAUACUACAUAAAUUAAUAAUAAACACUUUUAACAAUAAUUUUAAUAUUACCGAUAGUGAAAAAAACAAAACAAAACAAUUUUAUAUCAUAAUAUUAUAAUAUACAUAUUAUAUAUCACGAUAAAAUAAUAUUUUUCUCUCGUUAUUCAAUACUUAAAAUUAAUUAUAAUACUAUUAGUUUUGUCUUAUAUGGCAAUAAUAUUAUAGUGAUUUUGAUAACUAAAUUAUUAUAUUUCGUAAUUAUAUAUUGUAAUAACAUACUUGCUCUAAUUCUCAAAGUUAUAGAUAUUCUAAACUAUACAUUAAUUUAUUAUGAUAUUAUACAAAUAUACCGAUAGAAAAAAAAAAAUAUUGAUAAGUAAAACGUGUCAGUAUGUUACAAUGAAUUUGUUUAUAUACCUAUAUAUACCUAUAUAUAUAUAUUAUUAUGUUAUACUAUCUAUAAAAUAUUCAAAACUUAAAAUUCAUUAUUUAAUUAGUCAUUAAAUCGUCGCGAACGGUGUACGUAAUUAAUUAUGUAUCAUUUUUUUAUCGCGGGUGUGUUUUCCAUAAUAGGUGAUAUUAAUGUUAUAAUAUCGUUUCACGAAUAAACAUUUAAAAAAAAAAAAAAAUUGUUUUUUAAUAUUAUAGGUGUCUUGUACGUAUAGAUAAUAAUAUAUAUUAUAAUAUUUGCAAUGAUCUUAUUUUAUUUUAUUUUUUUAGUCUUAUCGAUAGAAAUUAUAAAUACUGAUCUAGAUAUACCUAAUAAUACUAUUAUAAUAGUAUUAUUACGUAUUAUAAUACGCCUAUCAUGUAGAAUAUUAUUAAAUACUAUAUGUACUUUUAAUCAAGCAAAAAAUUAUUAAAAUUUCAAUUUGUCGUUAUUUAUUAUAUUAUAUAGGUAUCUAUGUAAAUUGAAUGGAGUUAUGCAGGAAGCAUAACCAUCCAACAAUGUUGUGAAAUAACUAGUUUUGAAUAAGCACUAUAAUGUAAUAUGUAAUAUAUUAGUAAAUAAUAUGAACAUAGGCGCCAAGUUUUUAAAAUGUCGUUGGGGGCUGGACUUUUUAAGCUAAUUUAAUUUGAAAUAUUUUUCCAAAAACAUGAAAUUAAAAACAAAUUUAAAAUAUGCACUACCUAUUUUGAAUAGGUUUUGUCAUUCAAUAACAAUUUAAUUUGUAGGUAAUACAAGUAAAAUUUACUUUUGUCAAGAAACUAUUAUCAUUUAUCAGUUAUCAUCAAUAUGCACCCCGUGUAUCACUGGCGUGGUAUUAUCCACGUGAAACUUCAAGUAUUUGUAACCGUGUUAUGAACAAAUUAUUCGUGAUAAUAGGGGCUGAACAAACAAUUUUUAUCGUAAUAGUUUAUUUUAUCAAACAACAAUAAUAUUUUUAAUUUCUGGUGGUAAACUUCGUUAUUUUAACAUUAAGAAUAUAUUUUUUACAUAGUCGUUAGCAUAAAAAGUACUUUAAAUCACUAACACCUUUGGGGCUGAGUCCUGGCUCAAUAUUGUCAAUGUGGGCUGCAGCCUCGCAGCCCCCGUAAAUUCGGCGUCUAUGAAUACAUAUAUAUCCAUCGAGUUUAUUAGAUAAAUUAGUUAUAACUUAUAAGUCACUAAUAACUAAACCCUCAAUUAUUCAAUAAUAAAUUCAAAUAUUCAAAUAGAACUUUUGUGGGAUGGUGAUUUUCUGUUAAACGCCAUUCAAUUAUUAUUAUUAUUAUUAUUAUUGUUAACGAUAUUUUUGCAUUUAUGUUUAAAACGAUAUACCUAUUUUAGUAAAGAGAUAUAUAGAUAACAGUUAUUAGAUGUUUAAAUAAAACCAAAAUAAAAAUUAUAUUUAUUUUACCAUUAUUAUCAGGGUGUUUCAGGAUAUUCUGGCCAAAUAAUUUUCUAUAUUUAGAUUGAUUUUUUUUCUAAAAAGACAAAAUUAUUAUAAUUUUUUUUGUUUGUUUAUGAAUACAUAAAAAUAUACUUAAUUAUAAUUGUUAGAAACAUAUAUUUAUUUAAACUUUAUUAUAUAGUUAUAUUAUUGUAUAUUAUUAUUGUUUUUCAUAUAAUUUGUGUGUUUGUACCUAUCUACCAAUAUCUUAUAUAACAACUAUCUUAUAAAGUUAUAAUACAAUAAUAAUUAUUGUGCAAUUUGGGUGUAACACUAAAAUUGACUUUUCAACGUUCAUUUUCGCUUGUGGCUUCUUACAUUUCACGACACUUAAAUUAUUAUUACCAUUGCAAUACCAAACUAUAACGACUUAAAUUUUCUAUUAAGACGAUUUUUCAUUUCCAAUUUUUUUUUUUGUUUUUCUGAAAGGUAAUAUUUUUUCAAUAGUAAUUUAUAUAACGAUUUAAUAGUUAUGUUAUAGUUUGGCCAGAAUUACUUUUUUAAACAUUUUAUCCACAGUAUGGCCCGAAAAGUUAUAUCACUUUCUAUACAUAAAUAAAUUGUUUAUUAAUUAUAUUAGAGGAGAACUUUUUUUAAAAAAAAUAUAAUUAAAUUCGAAUCGAUUUAGUGUCUUAUAAUAUAAUAUUUAAGUAUUUAAACUUACACGGUAUAGUUCGAUGUCCAUUUGUGUUAUCAAUUAAUUUAACCAUUAUUGCUAAUGGCUAAUCCAAUCAAGUACAUACCUAAUAAUAAAAUAAUACUAUUUCAGAUAAAAAAGCUAUUUUCUCGCAGUUAUAUCUUUUAGGGCCAUUCUGAUUAUUUGUCAUCGAUAUAAUAAUAUAUAAUCGUUUGUAAUUAAAUAUUAUUAUUACAUUCAAUUUUUUUUUUUUUUUUUGAGCAUGAAAUCUGAAAAAAACGAUUUUUUUUAUAAUAAUGUACAAAUUAAAAAUUGUCCAUAAAACAUAAUAUACAAC
This is a non-coding RNA of Cinara cedri, 12801 nucleotides long. Lineage: Eukaryota; Metazoa; Arthropoda; Insecta; Hemiptera; Aphididae. The record is from the annotation of a GenBank genome assembly.